Molecule: transfer RNA, 69 nt
Filed under: Bacillus sp. AR18-7
Lineage: Bacteria; Bacillati; Bacillota; Bacilli; Caryophanales; Bacillaceae
Description: tRNA-Met
Rfam family: tRNA
About the family: Transfer RNA (tRNA) molecules are approximately 80 nucleotides in length. Their secondary structure includes four short double-helical elements and three loops (D, anti-codon, and T loops).
Source: RNAcentral
GGAGCAGCACGGUAGCUCGUCGGGCUCAUAACCCGAAGGUCGCAGGUUCAAAUCCUGUCCCCGCAACCA